UUUCUCCGGCGUUCCCGGCACACUGCCGACCUCUUGGAACUUUGUGCAGGGUCCAUACAGCGUUGAGGACCCUCUAUUCAGGGCUAGCUGCAGCUGCGCCUCCAGAUUGACCUGCCUCAGCUGCUCGGUGAGAUCCUCCAUCCACCCCAUAGCAGCCCAGGCACCAGA
This is a long non-coding RNA of Bufo bufo (common toad), 168 nucleotides long. RefSeq lists it as uncharacterized. Lineage: Eukaryota; Metazoa; Chordata; Amphibia; Anura; Bufonidae. The record is from RefSeq and is a predicted model, not a curated record. The transcript is spliced from 3 exons.